CGUAGUGGUCGAAUGUUGUUGAGUGCGUAUCGACGUGCGUAUGGAUGCGCUGCAGGCUGCAUUACAAUGAUCUGAUCGCUUUCUGUUCUGCGAACUGUUGGAUAUAUGACUAACAGAAUGAUAUCGGACAACCAAAACCUAACGUUGCAUUUGUGAAGAUAUCAAAGCAUUCGAAUAAAAAUAUUUGAACCGUCAGCUAAUAGACCAAAGAGCGGUUAUGAUGUGUAACAGUCACGGCACCCAGCUAUACCUGGAGGUGCCGUCGUCACGUCUGCCUAUCGUCUACUCUCCAGUAUACAACAUCACCUUCAUGGGCCUUGAGAAACUACACCCCUUCGACAGCGGGAAGUGGGGGAAAGUCAUCCACUUCCUAAAAGAGGAGAAGUUGAUCAGUGAUGGGAGCAUCGUUGAGGCGCGGGAGGCUGCAGAGGAAGACCUGCUGGUGGUUCACACAAAACGCUACCUCAACAGACUCAAGUGGUCCCUGGUUGUAGCGUCCAUCACAGAGAUCCCUCCCCUCCUAUUCCUACCUAACUUCCUGGUUCAGAGACGUGUCCUGCGGCCACUCAGAACGCAGACCGGAGGCACCAUCAUGGCAGGGAAACUGGCUGUAGACCGAGGCUGGGCCAUCAAUGUAGGUGGGGGCUUCCACCAUUGCUCCAGUGAUAAAGGAGGAGGGUUCUGUGCCUAUGCUGACAUCACCUUAGCUAUCAAGUUUCUGUUUGAGAGGGUGGAGGGAAUCUCCAGAGCCACCAUCAUAGAUCUGGACGCACACCAGGGGAACGGUCAUGAGCGUGACUUCCUGGAUGACAGACGUGUUUUCAUCAUGGACGUCUACAACCGAUACAUCUACCCUGGAGACGGAUAUGCAAAGAGAGCCAUAAAGCGUCAGGUGGAGCUGGACUGGGGGACGGAGGAUGAUGAGUACCUCGGGAAGGUAGAGCUCCACACGGAGGGUGCUCUCAAUGAGGUCCGGCCUGACAUCAUAGUAUACAACGCCGGGACAGACAUCCUGGACGGAGACCCCCUGGGAGGGCUGGCUAUCUCACCACAGGGCAUAGUAAAGAGGGAUGAGAUAGUUUUCCGGGCAGCACGAAGGAGAGGGAUUCCCAUCCUGAUGGUGACGUCUGGCGGAUAUCAGAAGAGGACAGCUCGCAUCAUCGCUGACUCCAUCAUCAACCUGCGACGCCAGGGCCUGAUUGGAGGGAAUGAGGAUGGGGAUGUGACAGAGGAGUGUGUGGGCGGAGUCUCCCUCAUGAUGAGCAGCUCUGACUCCUCCCCUUCCUCUGUGUCGACAGGACCAGCACCCAACACCAUCUGACUGGAACUGAACAUGAGUUGGAUCUUAGGGCCCAGAGCUUCUCCUGGAAACCUAUUGUGCUCGGGAUUAGAGUGCCUUUUCAGACUUCCCCGCGAUCUUACUGAUGCCCAAGGUGACUGUGGCAGGGCUUGGUAAUGGUACAGGGUUGGUCAGGUAGCCUAGUGGUUAAGAGUCAGUAAUUGGUUGGGUGGGUGGUUAAGUGGUUGGGCCAGUAAUCAAAAGGUCGCUGGUUUGAAUCCCCGAGCCAGCUAGGUGAAAAAUCUCUGGAUAACAGUUUCUGCUAAAUUACUAAAAUGUAAAUGUCUGAGACAUUCUGUAGCGGUACGGGGUUGGUCUGAGACAUUCUGUAGUGGUACGGGGUUGGUCUGAGACAUUCUGUAGCGGUACGGGGUUGGUCUGAGACAUUCUGUAGCGGUACGGGGUUGGUCUGAGACAUUCUGUAGCGGUACGGGGUUGGUCUGAGACAUUCUGUAGCGGUACGGGGUUGGUCUGAGACAUUCUGUAGUGGUACGGGGUUGGUCUGAGACAUUCUGUAGUGGUACGGGGUUGGUCUGAGACAUUCUGUAGUGGUACGGGGUUGGUCUGAGACAUUCUGUAGUGGUACGGGGUUGGUCUGAGACAUUCUGUAGUGGUACGGGGUUGGUCUGAGACAUUCUGUAGGGGUACGGGGUUGGUCUGAGACAUUCUGUAGGGGUACGGGGUUGGUCUGAGACAUUCUGUAGUGGUACGGGGUUGGUCUGAGACAUUCUGUAGUGGUACGGGGUUGGUCUGAGACAUUCUGUAGUGGUACGGGGUUGGUCUGAGACAUUCUGUAGUGGUACGGGGUUGGUCUGAGACAUUCUGUAGUGGUACCGGGUUGGUCUGAGACGGGGUUGGUCUGAGACAUUCUGUAGGGGUACGGGGUUGGUCUGAAACAGAUGUACAGUAUUCUGUGGACAGUAGUUUAAUACUAACACUGAACAUGGUAGAGACUUCAGACAUUGGACUUUAAGAUUGACUUAAGUUUUGUGGUUCAUGUAUUAGUUUCUGGAUCAGACCAAUGUAGGGAGAAAGAGGGCCUUUUCCCCCUAAUAUUGAUGAUGGUCAGGAACUGGGUUAGGUCUGACUGGCCCAGAGUUUCACCUGGGCUCCUGGGCUAUGACCCAAAUGGCACCCGAUUCCUUAUAUAGUGCACUACGUUGGGUUAGGUCUGACUGGCCCAGAGUUUCACCUGGGCUCCUGGGCUAUGACCCAAAUGGCACCCAAUUCCUUAUAUAGUGCACUAUGUUGGGUUAGGUCUGACUGGCCCAGAGUUUCACCUGGGCUCCUGGGCUAUGACCCAAAUGGCACCCAAUUCCUUAUAUAGUGCACUACGUUGGGUUAGGUCUGACUGGCCCAGAGUUUCACCUGGGCUCCUGGGCUAUGACCCAAAAGGCACCCAAUUCCUUAUAUAGUGCACUACGUUGGGUUAGGUCUGACUGGCCCAGAGUUUCACCUGGGCUCCUGGGCUAUGACCCAAAUGGCACCCAAUUCCUUAUAUAGUGCACUACGUUGGGUUAGGUCUGACUGGCCCAGAGUUUCACCUGGGCUCCUGGGCUAUGACCCAAAUGGCACCCAAUUCCUUAUAUAGUGCACUACGUUGGGUUAGGUCUGACUGGCCCAGAGUUUCACCUGGGCUCCUGGGCUAUGACCCAAAUGGCAGCCAUUUUAGGUAAAACUUAUAUAGUGCACUACGUUGGGCCAAGGGGCCAGUAUGCCACUGACUUUAAUUCGCUAGUUCAUAUUGACUUGAAGGACCAAUCUAUGAAAAAAGGGCCUUUUACCUGGUCUAAUUACAUGGGUUGGCCAGGGAUAACUCAUGGUAUUACCUGGGUUGGCCAGGGAUAACUCAUGGUAUUACCUGGUCUAAUUACAUGGGUUGGCCAGGGAUAACUCAUGGUAUUACCUGGGUUGGCCAGGGAUAACUCAUGGUAUUACCUGGGUUGGCCAGGGAUAACUCGUGGUAUUACCUGGGUUGGCCAGGGAUAACUCAUGGUAUUACCUGGUCUAAUUACAUGGGUUGGCCAGGGAUAACUCAUGGUAUUACCUGGGUUGGCCAGGGAUAACUCAUGGUAUUACCUGGGUUGGCCAGGGAUAACUCGUGGUAUUACCUGGGUUGGCCAGGGAUAACUCAUGGUAUUACCUGGUCUAAUUACAUGGGUUGGCCAGGGAUAACUCAUGGUAUUACCUGGGUUGGCCAGGGAUAACUCGUGGUAUUACCUGGGUUGGCCAGGGAUAACUCAUGGUAUUACCUGGGUUGGCCAGGGAUAACUCAUGGUAUUACCUGGGUUGGCCAGGGAUAACUCAUGGUAUUACCUGGGUUGGCCAGGGAUAACUCGUGGUAUUACCUGGGUUGGCCAGGGAUAACUCGUGGUAUUACCUGGGUUGGCCAGGGAUAACUCAUGGUAUUACAUGGGUUGGCCAGGGAUAACUCAUGGUAUUACCUGGGUUGGCCAGGGAUAACUCAUGGUAUUACCUGGGUUGGCCAGGGAUAACUCAUGGUAUUACCUGGUCUAAUUACAUGGGUUGGCCAGGGAUAACUCAUGGUAUUACCUGGGUUGGCCAGGGAUAACUCAUGGUAUUACCUGGGUUGGCCAGGGAUAACUCGUGGUAUUACCUGGGUUGGCCAGGGAUAACUCAUGGUAUUACCUGGUCUAAUUACAUGGGUUGGCCAGGGAUAACUCAUGGUAUUACCUGGGUUGGCCAGGGAUAACUCGUGGUAUUACCUGGGUUGGCCAGGGAUAACUCAUGGUAUUACCUGGGUUGGCCAGGGAUAACUCAUGGUAUUACCUGGGUUGGCCAGGGAUAACUCAUGGUAUUACCUGGGUUGGCCAGGGAUAACUCGUGGUAUUACCUGGGUUGGCCAGGGAUAACUCGUGGUAUUACCUGGGUUGGCCAGGGAUAACUCAUGGUAUUACCUGGGUUGGCCAGGGAUAACUCGUGGUAUUACCUGGGUUGGCCAGGGAUAACUCGUGGUAUUACCUGGGUUGGCCAGGGAUAACUCAUGGUAUUACCUGGGUUGGCCAGGGAUAACUCAUGGUAUUACCUGGGUUGGCCAGGGAUAACUCAUGGUAUUACCUGGGUUGGCCAGGGAUAACUCAUGGUAUUACCUGGGUUGGCCAGGGAUAACUCAUGGUAUUACCUGGUCUAAUUACAUGGGUUGGCCAGGGAUAACUCGUGGUAUUACCUGGGUUGGCCAGGGAUAACUCAUGGUAUUACCUGGGUUGGCCAGGGAUAACUCAUGGUAUUACAUGGGUUGGCCAGGGAUAACUCAUGGUAUUACCUGGGUUGGCCAGGGAUAACUCAUGGUAUUACCUGGGUUGGCCAGGGAUAACUCAUGGUAUUACCUGGUCUAAUUACAUGGGUUGGCCAGGGAUAACUCGUGGUAUUACCUGGGUUGGCCAGGGAUAACUCAUGGUAUUACCUGGGUUGGCCAGGGAUAACUCAUGGUAUUACAUGGGUUGGCCAGGGAUAACUCAUGGUAUUACCUGGGUUGGCCAGGGAUAACUCAUGGUAUUACCUGGGUUGGCCAGGGAUAACUCAUGGUAUUACCUGGGUUGGCCAGGGAUAACUCAUGGUAUUACCUGGGUUGGCCAGGGAUAACUCAUGGUAUUACCUGGUCUAAUUACAUGGGUUGGCCAGGGAUAACUCAUGGUAUUACCUGGGUUGGCCAGGGAUAACUCAUGGUAUUACCUGGGUUGGCCAGGGAUAACUCAUGGUAUUACCUGGGUUGGCCAGGGAUAACUCAUGGUAUUACCUGGGUUGGCCAGGGAUAACUCAUGGUAUUACCUGGGUUGGCCAGGGAUAACUCGUGGUAUUACCUGGGUUGGCCAGGGAUAACUCGUGGUAUUACCUGGGUUGGCCAGGGAUAACUCAUGGUAUUACCUGGGUUGGCCAGGGAUAACUCGUGGUAUUACCUGGGUUGGCCAGGGAUAACUCAUGGUAUUACCUGGGUUGGCCAGGGAUAACUCAUGGUAUUACCUGGUCUAAUUACAUGGGUUGGCCAGGGAUAACUCAUGGUAUUACCUGGUCUAAUUACAUGGGUUGGCCAGGGAUAACUCGUGGUAUUACCUGGGUUGGCCAGGGAUAACUCAUGGUAUUACCUGGUCUAAUUACAUGGGUUGGCCAGGGAUAACUCGUGGUAUUACCUGGGUUGGCCAGGGAUAACUCAUGGUAUUACCUGGUCUAAUUACAUGGGUUGGCCAGGGAUAACUCAUGGUAUUACCUGGGUUGGCCAGGGAUAACUCAUGGUAUUACCUGGUCUAAUUACAUGGGUUGGCCAGGGAUAACUCAUGGGUCGUGUCCUAACACCCUAUUAUUUAGGGCGCUACUUUGGCCAAGGGGCUGUAAGGUAACUUAGUAGGACUUUACAGACAUUUGCUUCAUUGGAUGUUGAUAAUAUUGGAAGAGUUUUACAUGUUGUAUGAGUGUUUGGCAGAGGGUUUAAAGUUCAUUAUAACAAUGUGAAAAUGAUUUUUUUAAAAUAAUUAAUAAUUAAUUCGAGAAUAAUAUGAUUGGUAUUGGUUAAUUAAUUAAUGAGAGAAUAAGAUAAUAUGAUUGGUAUUGGUUAAUUAAUUAAUGAGAGAAUAAUAUAAUAUGAUUGGUAUUGGUUAAUGAAUAAAUUAAAAUGAUUAGCAACAUUCCAAAACGUAAUUCUUAUUCAGAUUGGGAAAUCUGGAUUACAUCCCAUAUGGCAUCCUAUUCCUUGUAUAGUCCACUACUUUUGACCAGAGCUCCAACGUGCCCUGAUUAAAAGUAGUGCACUAAAUAGGGAAUAGGGCGCCAUUUGGAGCACAUCCCUGAUGUGAUCUGCUACGCUCCGGCACCACAUUCAGAAUCCUCCUGAUCUUAAGACUUUGUUGAAAUAUUUGGUUUAAGGUUCCUGCACUUGUUAGAAAGCAGUGAUAUAUUCAUUAUAUUGUCGGUCCAUGUUUAAAGUUUUUGUCCUAUGUACGGGGUACGCACGGUAUACACUACAUUGUCCAAAGAAAUGCUUACUUGCAGGUUCCUUCAUGACGAUGCAACAAUAAGAAACACUAAAAGAUAAUAAUAUGAACAUAAAGUAAAUGGCUCACUAAAAUAGAAUACAUAUUUUUGCAUAAGUGUGUGUGUGUGUAUAUAUAUAUAUCACCUUAUAUAUAUAUAUAUAUAUAUAUAUAUAUAUAUAAUAUUAUAAUUGUAUAAUAAGCUAAGAGGAAUAUGAUUAUGGGAGAAGCUUUAGGGAUGAUUCUGAUGGUUAAACUUUGUAGUAUAUGAAUAUAAUAAUGGCAUUUAGCAGACAUCAUUCAUCACCUUAUUGUAUUCAGCCAUUCAUCACCUUAUUGUUUUCAGCCAUUCAGCCAUUCAUGACCUUAUUGUUUUCAGCCAUUCAUCACCUCAUUGUAUUCAGCCAUUCAUGGCCUUAUUGUUUUCAGCCAUUCAUAACCUUAUUGUUUUCAGCCAUUCAUCACCUCAUUGUAUUCAGCCAUUCAUCGCCUUAUUGUUUUCAGCCAUUCAUAACCUUAUUGUUUUCAGCCAUUCAUGACCUUAUUGUUUUCAGCCAUUCAUAACCUUAUUGUGUUCAGCCAUUCAUGACCUUAUUGUAUUCAGCCAUUCAUCACCUUAUUGUUUUCAGCCAUUCAUGACCUUAUUGGAUUCAACCUGUUUCUCACACCUUUUCUUCAAUCAGAAAUUAUUUUUGAAUUCUAACAAACUUACUUUCAAGAUAAUUCUUUUUUUUUUGUUUCAUAUACAUUUUACCCACAUGGUACUUUUAUACACAGUAGUAUAACAAAAGUUGUGCAUUACGUCUUGUCUUCUGACUGGCCGGUGUUGCACAGAGUUCGUUCGCCAUGGGAGCAUUCUCCUGUUGUAUUCCCCAUAUUUAUAUUACAUUCUGUUGUAUUCCCCAUACACACUAACGUUCAAAAGUUUGGGGUCACUUAGAAAUGUCCUUGUUUUUGAAAGAAAAGCAAAAAAAAUUGUCCAUUAAAAUAACAUCAAAUUGAUCAGAAAUACAGUGUAGACAUUGUUAAUGUUGUAAAUGACUAUUGUAGCUGGAAACAGCUGAGUUUUAAUGGAGUAUCUACAUAGGCGUACAGAGGCCCAUUAUCAGCAACCAUCACUCCUGUGUUCCAAUGGCACGUUGUGUUAGCUAAUCCAAGUUCAUCAUUUUAA
Salmo salar (Atlantic salmon) is the source of this 7495-nucleotide non-coding RNA. The record is from RefSeq and is a predicted model, not a curated record. Lineage: Eukaryota; Metazoa; Chordata; Actinopteri; Salmoniformes; Salmonidae.